RNAcentral lists this unclassified non-coding RNA (277 nucleotides) under Hevea brasiliensis (rubber tree). The record is from RNAcentral. Lineage: Eukaryota; Viridiplantae; Streptophyta; Magnoliopsida; Malpighiales; Euphorbiaceae.
AUAUAGAGAUCUGGGUUUCAGCUCUAGCUAACAGCCACACUAUUAAUCAGCUUCUGAUCCAGCUGGGCCAUGGAAUUUCUUCCACUAUAGACGGGAAAAGAGUACUGUUUACAGCUAAAGGGGGCAACUAUUUAAUAAAACCUAAAAAGUUGUAACAAAUGCCCAGAGAAAUUUUGAUAGAAUUCCUGAGGCCUUUCCAACAAAUAAAUUAUGCUAAGAUAAAAGAAAAAUUAAAAAUUGAUACACGAACAUGACAGUCUAGAGUUUGGUUACAGCU